RNAcentral lists this ribosomal RNA (245 nucleotides) under uncultured Desulfurivibrio sp. RNAcentral's name for it is "partial 16S ribosomal RNA". It matches the Rfam family "Bacterial small subunit ribosomal RNA", at positions 524 to 768 of the family's 1533-position model. The record is from RNAcentral. Lineage: Bacteria; Pseudomonadati; Thermodesulfobacteriota; Desulfobulbia; Desulfobulbales; Desulfobulbaceae.
UACGGAGGGUGCGAGCGUUAAUCGGAAUCACUGGGCGUAAAGGGCGCGUAGGCGGCCCUGCAAGUCAGGUGUGAAAGCCCACGGCUCAACCGUGGAUGUGCAUCUGAAACUGCAAGGCUUGAGUAUCGGAGGGGAAGAUGGAAUUCCCGGUGUAGAGGUGAAAUUCGUAGAUAUCGGGAGGAAUACCGGUGGCGAAGGCGAUCUUCUGGACGAAUACUGACGCUGAGGCGCGAAAGCGUGGGGAG